CCUACGGGGUGCUGCAGUGGGGAAUAUUGGACAAUGGGCGAAAGCCUGAUCCAGCCAUGCCGCGUGUGUGAAGAAGGCCUUCGGGUUGUAAAGCACUUUCAGUGGGGAAGAAAGCCUUGGGGCUAAUACCCUCGAGGAAGGACAUCACCCACAGAAGAAGCACCGGCUAACUCCGUGCCAGCAGCCGCGGUAAUACGGAGGGUGCGAGCGUUAAUCGGAAUUACUGGGCGUAAAGCGCGCGUAGGCGGUCUGAUAAGCCGGUUGUGAAAGCCCCGGGCUCAACCUGGGAACGGCAUCCGGAACUGUCAGGCUAGAGUGCAGGAGAGAAAGGUAGAAUUCCCGGUGUAGCGGUGAAAUGCGUAGAGAUCGGGAGGAAUACCAGUGGCGAAGGCGGCCUUCUGGACUGACACUGACGCUGAGGUGCGAAAGCGUGGGUAGCAAACAGGAUUAGAUACCCUGGUAGUC
Molecule: ribosomal RNA, 465 nt
Filed under: Vreelandella stevensii
Lineage: Bacteria; Pseudomonadati; Pseudomonadota; Gammaproteobacteria; Oceanospirillales; Halomonadaceae
Description: partial 16S ribosomal RNA
Rfam family: Bacterial small subunit ribosomal RNA
Source: RNAcentral